Molecule: ribosomal RNA, 643 nt
Filed under: Pseudomonas sp. 9.2
Lineage: Bacteria; Pseudomonadati; Pseudomonadota; Gammaproteobacteria; Pseudomonadales; Pseudomonadaceae
Description: bacterial SSU rRNA
Rfam family: Bacterial small subunit ribosomal RNA
Source: RNAcentral
UGCAGUCCGAGCGGAUGACGGGAGCUUGCUCCUUGAUUCAGCGGCGGACGGGUGAGUAAUGCCUAGGAAUCUGCCUGGUAGUGGGGGACAACGUUUCGAAAGGAACGCUAAUACCGCAUACGUCCUACGGGAGAAAGCAGGGGACCUUCGGGCCUUGCGCUAUCAGAUGAGCCUAGGUCGGAUUAGCUAGUUGGUGGGGUAAUGGCUCACCAAGGCGACGAUCCGUAACUGGUCUGAGAGGAUGAUCAGUCACACUGGAACUGAGACACGGUCCAGACUCCUACGGGAGGCAGCAGUGGGGAAUAUUGGACAAUGGGCGAAAGCCUGAUCCAGCCAUGCCGCGUGUGUGAAGAAGGUCUUCGGAUUGUAAAGCACUUUAAGUUGGGAGGAAGGGCAGUAAGCUAAUACCUUGCUGUUUUGACGUUACCGACAGAAUAAGCACCGGCUAACUCUGUGCCAGCAGCCGCGGUAAUACAGAGGGUGCAAGCGUUAAUCGGAAUUACUGGGCGUAAAGCGCGCGUAGGUGGUUUGUUAAGUUGGAUGUGAAAGCCCCGGGCUCAACCUGGGAACUGCAUCCAAAACUGGCAAGCUAGAGUACGGUAGAGGGUGGUGGAAUUUCCUGUGUAGCGGUGAAAUGCGUAGA